GUAACACGUACCCCUUAAGCCCAGGGGACGUGGAUAACCUCGGGAAACUGACAUUAAACCGCGAUAGGUCAAGAUUUCUGGAAUGGAUCCUGGCUUAAAUCUACAUGGCCCCUGGAUUGGACUGCCGCCGAUCAGGCUGUUGGUGAGGUAAUGGCCCACCAAACCUAUAACCGGUACGGGCUCUGAGAGGAGAAGCCCGGAGAUGGGCACUGAGACAAGGGCCCAGGCCCUAUGGGGCGCAGCAGGCGCGAAAACUCUGCAAUGGGCGAAAGCCUGACAGGGUUACUCUGAGUGAUUUCCGCUAAGGAGAUCUUUUGGCAGCUCUAAAAAUGGUGCAGAAUAAGGGGUGGGCAAGUCUGGUGUCAGCCGCCGCGGUAAUACCAGCACCCCGAGUGGUCGGGACGAUUAUUGGGCCUAAAGCAUCCGUAGCCGGUUGUGCAAGUCCUCCGUUAAAUCCAGCCGCUCAACGGAUGGGCUGCGGAGGAUACUACAGAACUAGGAGGCGGGAGAGGCAAGCGGUACUUAGUGGGUAGGGGUAAAAUCCUUUGAUCCAUUGAAGA
Molecule: ribosomal RNA, 560 nt
Filed under: uncultured archaeon
Lineage: Archaea
Description: bacterial SSU rRNA
Rfam family: Archaeal small subunit ribosomal RNA
Source: RNAcentral